AUGGGAUUCUAUAGUCUUCAUGAAUCCCUUCAUCAGAAGGUCACCAAACUUCUCUCCAGAUUCUUCUGGGCUGGAGAGAACAAUAAACAGAAAUAUCACAUGGUAAAGUGGUCUGAGAUCUGUAAGCCUAAAGACCAAGGAGGCCUUGGGGUUAUUUCUUCCAAGCGGAUGAAUAUUGCCCUCCUCUCCAAGUGGCUUUGGCGCAUUCAGACUGAUGAGGGCGGCAUGUGGCUUGAGGUUAUC
This 243-nucleotide ribosomal RNA is filed under the name Triticum aestivum (bread wheat). Its description in RNAcentral is "partial small subunit ribosomal RNA". The record is from RNAcentral. Lineage: Eukaryota; Viridiplantae; Streptophyta; Magnoliopsida; Poales; Poaceae.